Molecule: ribosomal RNA, 555 nt
Filed under: Klebsiella pneumoniae
Lineage: Bacteria; Pseudomonadati; Pseudomonadota; Gammaproteobacteria; Enterobacterales; Enterobacteriaceae
Description: bacterial LSU rRNA
Rfam family: Bacterial large subunit ribosomal RNA
Source: RNAcentral
GGUAUAGACCCGAAACCCGGUGAUCUAGCCAUGGGCAGGUUGAAGGUUGGGUAACACUAACUGGAGGACCGAACCGACUAAUGUUGAAAAAUUAGCGGAUGACUUGUGGCUGGGGGUGAAAGGCCAAUCAAACCGGGAGAUAGCUGGUUCUCCCCGAAAGCUAUUUAGGUAGCGCCUCGUGAACUCAUCUUCGGGGGUAGAGCACUGUUUCGGCUAGGGGGUCAUCCCGACUUACCAACCCGAUGCAAACUACGAAUACCGAAGAAUGUUAUCACGGGAGACACACGGCGGGUGCUAACGUCCGUCGUGAAGAGGGAAACAACCCAGACCGCCAGCUAAGGUCCCAAAGUCAUGGUUAAGUGGGAAACGAUGUGGGAAGGCACAGACAGCCAGGAUGUUGGCUUAGAAGCAGCCAUCAUUUAAAGAAAGCGUAAUAGCUCACUGGUCGAGUCGGCCUGCGCGGAAGAUGUAACGGGGCUAAACCAUGCACCGAAGCUGCGGCAGCGACACUAUGUGUUGUUGGGUAGGGGAGCGUUCUGUAAGCCUGCGAAGGUG